AUCAGACGGCAGCAACGAAAUGUCGAAAGAUAGCAAAAGAAUCAGU
This is a small RNA of Yersinia pestis CO92, 46 nucleotides long. It matches the Rfam family "Yersinia sRNA 209". NCBI's taxonomy places the organism in Bacteria, Pseudomonadati, Pseudomonadota, Gammaproteobacteria, Enterobacterales, Yersiniaceae. The record is from Rfam.